Molecule: long non-coding RNA, 581 nt
Filed under: Capsella rubella
Lineage: Eukaryota; Viridiplantae; Streptophyta; Magnoliopsida; Brassicales; Brassicaceae
Description: long non-coding RNA (CRUB_LNC002783)
Source: RNAcentral
AACAACAACAACGAUGUUCUGCUCCAGAUACUGGCUUUGACCGGCCAAUUCAGAACAAACUGGUAAAAUAUUAGAUUAACAUAGAAGAGUAAAAUGUUUUGUUAAAAAGAAAAUAAAAUAAAAAAAAAAUAUCUAUUUUUUACUCAGCGUUGUUAUAAAAACACUGCCUAUCUUUGUAAAGAGAUGUCUAAAUUAUUUCUACUUGUUAAAUUUUUUUAAUUCUGGUUGGCUUUCUUUUGAUAGCUCAAAGUGUCACUAUGGACUGCAGACUUCAAUCGUAUGUCUCGAUGGGUCAUCCUGUGUGGUUAGGUGAUGUCUUUACUGAGGAAAGUUUAUAAUCCUGUGAUUGAUCUGAGCUUUUGGUGUGUGGUGUUUAGGUUAGGCCCUACACUGUGUGUUGUUAGGGCUUUUUCUAAGUAUGGAUGUGCCCUCUUUCAGCCUUAGUUUUUGCCUUGUUUGUAUGUAUGGGUUGACAUUUUAAUAUUUUAUCUAAAUAUAACGCCAGUUGAAAAAAAGGUUGGCUUUCUUUAGCUUCAGGUAAACUUGAAACAAGAACCAAAUGUCAAGACGAACCGGUCGCC